ACGCUGGCGGCGUGCUUAACACAUGCAAGUCGAACGAGAAUCUGUGGAAAGAGGAUUCGUCCAAUCGAAGCAGAGGACAGUGGCGGACGGGUGAGUAACGCGUGAGGAACCUGCCUUUCAGAGGGGGGACAACAGUUGGAAACGACUGCUAAUACCGCAUAACAUAUAGAUGUCGCAUGGCAUUUAUAUCAAAGAUUUAUCGCUGAAAGAUGGCCUCGCGUCUGAUUAGCUAGUUGGUGAGGUAACGGCCCACCAAGGCGACGAUCAGUAGCCGGUCUGAGAGGAUGAACGGCCACAUUGGGACUGAGAUACGGCCCAGACUCCUACGGGAGGCAGCAGUGGGGAAUAUUGGGCAAUGGGGGAAACCCUGACCCAGCAACGCCGCGUGAAGGAAGAAGGCCUUCGGGUUGUAAACUUCUUUUACCAGGGACGAAAAAGGUGACGGUACCUGGAGAAAAAGCAACGGCUAACUACGUG
Molecule: ribosomal RNA, 477 nt
Filed under: uncultured bacterium
Lineage: Bacteria
Description: bacterial SSU rRNA
Rfam family: Bacterial small subunit ribosomal RNA
Source: RNAcentral